This 490-nucleotide ribosomal RNA is filed under the name uncultured bacterium. RNAcentral's name for it is "partial 16S ribosomal RNA". It matches the Rfam family "Bacterial small subunit ribosomal RNA", at positions 30 to 507 of the family's 1533-position model. The record is from RNAcentral.
AUUGAACGCUGGCGGCAGGCCUAACACAUGCCAGUCGAACGGUAACAGGAAGAAGCUUGCUUCUUUGCUGACGAGUGGCGGACGGGUGAGUAAUGUCUGGGAAACUGCCUGAUGGAGGGGGAUAACUACUGGAAACGGUAGCUAAUACCGCAUAACGUCGCAAGACCAAAGAGGGGGACCUUCGGGCCUCUUGCCAUCGGAUGUGCCCAGAUGGGAUUAGCUAGUAGGUGGGGUAACGGCUCACCUAGGCGACGAUCCCUAGCUGGUCUGAGAGGAUGACCAGCCACAAUGGAACUGAGACACGGUCCAGACUCCUACGGGAGGCAGCAGUGGGGAAUAUUGCACAAUGGGCGCAAGCCUGAUGCAGCCAUGCCGCGUGUAUGAAGAAGGCCUUCGGGUUGUAAAGUACUUUCAGCGGGGAGGAAGGGAGUAAAGUUAAUACCUUUACUCAUUGACGUUACCCGCAGAAGAAGCACCGGCUAACUCCGUG